RNAcentral lists this non-coding RNA (141 nucleotides) under Gorilla gorilla gorilla (western lowland gorilla). The record is from Rfam by way of RNAcentral. Lineage: Eukaryota; Metazoa; Chordata; Mammalia; Primates; Hominidae.
GCUGGGCGUGGUGGUGCACGCCUGUAGUCCCAGCUACUCAGGAAGCUGAGGCAGGAGAAUCGCUUGAACCCAGGAGGUGGAGGUUGCAGUAAUCUCGCCACUGCACUCACGCCUGGGCAACAGAGCGAGACUCUGUCUCAA